GGAUGGCUCAGUUGGUUAGAGCAUGGUGCUGAUAAUACCAAGGUUGCAGGUUUGAUCCCCAUAUGGGACA
RNAcentral lists this transfer RNA (70 nucleotides) under Podarcis lilfordi (Lilford's wall lizard). Its description in RNAcentral is "tRNA.Ile". Lineage: Eukaryota; Metazoa; Chordata; Lepidosauria; Squamata; Lacertidae. The record is from RNAcentral.